AAAGGUAACAAUGUUUUGAUCCCGCAAGAGGAACAACAGAUGUCGGAGCUUGAGGAAGAUGGUACUGAAAUCAGCGACGAUGACUCCUCGGAGAGGUCAAGUUCUCAACCAAAGCCUUCGAAGGGUGUCAGACGGAAUAAAUGGAGACCUGAGGAGGUGAAGAAACUCAUUAAAAUGCGUGGGGAAUUGCAUAGCAAAUUCCAAGUUGUAAAGGGAAGAAUGGCCCUCUGGAAAGAAAUAUCAACACAUUUAGCAAAUGAGGGAUUUAAUCGAACUCCAAGCCAGUGCAAAUCCCGGUGGUCAUCUUUACUUCAGAAAUACGAGGUUUGUUCUUCCACCCUUCCCUUGACAAGAAUUUCAGUUAUAAAUUCUGGUAACCAUAGUUUACAUGAAGAAGAAAGGAAAAUUUGUCUGGUGGUAUCAAGAUUUCAAACUCUGAAAACGAAAUCCAGACAUGCUUUUAUUCACAUGAUUGAUUGUUUGAAACAGGAAAGCAAGAGUGGGAAUAGCCAAAAAAGUUGGCCAUACUUUGAGGAAAUGAAUAAAAUUUUCUCGGACUCUGACUCAGAGGCGAUGGCAACGAAAUGAUUGAAGAAGGUAAGAACAGUGAGCAUUGAAUUCCCGGGAAGAGUGUCCAAGGACACACUUGCUUCAAAUUAAAAAGCCUGGGUUGUUGGCGACAUUUUUAUCCCAUCAUGGCUUCGUCAUAAGGAUGCUCCAUGACAAAAGAGAGCAGAAUGACUAAUGAAAAAUUGGUCUAGGUUCAAAAAGCGGGAGGCCUCCGUGAAUUGGCCAAUCUGAUGAUGUACAAGAGGUGGAUUAAGUUAAAUUUUGUAGUUUAGUACCCUUGUGUAAAUUGGAAACUAGGCCAACAAAAGAAGAGUAGAGAGUGGGAAACAAAUCCCGGGAGUGGCAUUUAAUUUUAAUUUUAAUUUUAAUUUUCUAUUUUCCUCUAUUAUUGGAUUACCCUUUAAUUAUCAGCACCGAUAUGCUCACAACAUUCAGCCUCACAUAUAGCACCGAACGGUACGUUUCAAGAUAACUGUAAAAUGGUCACUGUAGAUGGAUAAUUACAACACACACGCAUUGAGAAAAAACAUACGCGCUCUUUGGCAGAACAAGCACGCACGCUCUGGCUCUUCAGCUCUCUCCUUCAAUCCUACCAAUCCAGCAAUCACCAUCGGCUUCGUCUCUCUCUCGUCUGUCCGUUGCAUCUCUCACAUCUCUCACAGCGCCUCACUCUCUCGGCUGUCUCAAAAAUUCGACUUGCAGCCUCACUCUCUUAGCUUCACUCGUCGAUUUCUAGCGGUAAUUUGCUUAAUUAAUUUCAAUUUUGAUUGUAAAGAUUCAGCUGUCAUUUAGUUAAACAAGGGAAGCUUGCUGCAACACUGAAUUGAAUAUAAAUUAUUGUGACAAAUAAUUGAGGAUAAUGUUUAUCCAAUAUCUACAUAAAAUUCUUGCACCGUAA
RNAcentral lists this long non-coding RNA (1468 nucleotides) under Citrus maxima (pomelo). RNAcentral describes it as "long non-coding RNA (CMAX_LNC002100)". Lineage: Eukaryota; Viridiplantae; Streptophyta; Magnoliopsida; Sapindales; Rutaceae. The record is from RNAcentral.